CGGACGUGGGUAACCUGCCUCAUACAGGGGGAUAGCAGCUGGAAACGGCUGAUAAAACCGCAUAAGCGCACAGCAUCGCAUGAUGCAGUGUGAAAAACUCCGGUGGUAUGAGAUGGACCCGCGUCUGAUUAGCUUGUUGGUGAGGUAACGGCCCACCAAGGCGACGAUCAGUAGCCGGCCUGAGAGGGUGACCGGCCACAUUGGGACUGAGACACGGCCCAA
RNAcentral lists this ribosomal RNA (222 nucleotides) under uncultured bacterium. RNAcentral describes it as "partial 16S ribosomal RNA". It matches the Rfam family "Bacterial small subunit ribosomal RNA", at positions 112 to 334 of the family's 1533-position model. The record is from RNAcentral.